GACGUAGGGUGCGAGCGUUGUCCGGAUUUAUUGGGCGUAAAGAGCUCGUAGGCGGCUCGUCGCGUCGACCGUGAAAACCCGCGGCUUAACUGCGGGCUUGCGGUUGAUACGGGCGGGCUAGAGUUCGGUAGGGGAGACUGGAAUUCCUGGUGUAGCGGUGAAAUGCGCAGAUAUCAUUUGGAACGCCAAUGGUGAAAACAGCUCGCUGGGGGUGUACUGACACUGAGACACGAAAGCCAGGGGAGCGAACGGG
This 253-nucleotide ribosomal RNA is filed under the name uncultured bacterium. RNAcentral's name for it is "partial 16S ribosomal RNA". It matches the Rfam family "Bacterial small subunit ribosomal RNA", at positions 524 to 776 of the family's 1533-position model. The record is from RNAcentral.